Molecule: non-coding RNA, 114 nt
Organism: Xyrichtys novacula (pearly razorfish)
Lineage: Eukaryota; Metazoa; Chordata; Actinopteri; Labriformes; Labridae
Source: the annotation of a GenBank genome assembly
GUCGGUUAUGGAGACAUCUACCCACAAACCCUGCUGGGCAAGAUUGUAGGAGGACUCUGCUGCAUAGCAGGUGUGUUGGUCAUCGCCCUUCCCAUCCCAAUCAUCGUUAACAAC